RNAcentral lists this ribosomal RNA (433 nucleotides) under uncultured bacterium. RNAcentral's name for it is "partial 16S ribosomal RNA". It matches the Rfam family "Bacterial small subunit ribosomal RNA", at positions 29 to 507 of the family's 1533-position model. The record is from RNAcentral.
AACGAACGCUGGCGGCAUGCCUAACACAUGCAAGUCGAACGAGACCUUCGGGUCUAGUGGCGCACGGGUGCGUAACGCGUGGGAACCUGCCCUUAGGUUCGGAAUAACUCCCCGAAAGGGGUGCUAAUACCGGAUAAUGUCUUCGGACCAAAGAUUUAUCGCCUUUGGAUGGGCCCGCGUUGGAUUAGCUAGUUGGUAGGGUAAAAGCCUACCAAGGCGACGAUCCAUAGCUGGUCUGAGAGGAUGAUCAGCCACACUGGGAGUGAGACACGGCCCAGACUCCUACGGAAAGCAGCAGUGGGGAAUAUUGGACAAUGGGCGAGAGCCUGAUCCAGCAAUGCCGCGUGAGUGAUGAAGGCCUUAGAGUUGUAAAGCUCGUUUACCCGGGAUGAUAAUGACAGUACCGAGGGAAUAAGCUCCGGCUAACUCCGUG